UCCCUCAUAGCUCAGUUGGAAAAGAAUCUGCCUGCAAUGCAGGAGACCCAGGUUCCAUCCCUGGGUUGGGAA
Molecule: transfer RNA, 72 nt
Filed under: Bos taurus (domestic cattle)
Lineage: Eukaryota; Metazoa; Chordata; Mammalia; Artiodactyla; Bovidae
Also listed under: 3 other names
Rfam family: tRNA
About the family: Transfer RNA (tRNA) molecules are approximately 80 nucleotides in length. Their secondary structure includes four short double-helical elements and three loops (D, anti-codon, and T loops). Further hydrogen bonds mediate the characteristic L-shaped molecular structure. tRNAs have two regions of fundamental functional importance: the anti-codon, which is responsible for specific mRNA codon recognition, and the 3' end, to which the tRNAs corresponding amino acid is attached (by aminoacyl-tRNA synthetases). tRNAs cope with the degeneracy of the genetic code in two manners: having more than one tRNA (with a specific anti-codon) for a particular amino acid; and 'wobble' base-pairing, i.e. permitting non-standard base-pairing at the 3rd anti-codon position.
Source: Rfam by way of RNAcentral